This 395-nucleotide ribosomal RNA is filed under the name uncultured bacterium. RNAcentral's name for it is "partial 16S ribosomal RNA". It matches the Rfam family "Bacterial small subunit ribosomal RNA", at positions 523 to 918 of the family's 1533-position model. The record is from RNAcentral.
AUACGUAGGGCGCAAGCGUUAAUCGGAAUUACUGGGCGUAAAGCGUGCGCAGGCGGUCUUGUAAGACAGAGGUGAAAUCCCCGGGCUCAACCUGGGAACUGCCUUUGUGACUGCAAGGCUAGAGUACGGCAGAGGGGGAUGGAAUUCCGCGUGUAGCAGUGAAAUGCGUAGAUAUGCGGAGGAACACCGAUGGCGAAGGCAAUCCCCUGGGCCUGUACUGACGCUCAUGCACGAAAGCGUGGGGAGCAAACAGGAUUAGAUACCCUGGUAGUCCACGCCCUAAACGAUGUCAACUGGUUGUUGGGUCUUCAUUGACUCAGUAACGAAGCUAACGCGUGAAGUUGACCGCUUGGGGAGUACGGCCGUAAGGUUGAAACUCAAAGGAAUUGACGGGG